AUUGAACGCUGGCGGAAUGCUUUACACAUGCAAGUCGAGCGGCAGCGCGGGGGCAACCCUGGCGGCGAGCGGCGAACGGGUGAGUAAUACAUCGGAACGUGUCCUUAAGUGGGGGAUAGCUCGGCGAAAGCCGGAUUAAUACCGCAUAAGCUCUGAGGAGGAAAGCGGGGGCUCCGUAAGGACCUCGCGCUGUUGGAGCGGCCGAUGUCGGAUUAGCUAGUUGGUGGGGUAAAGGCCCACCAAGGCGACGAUCCGUAGCUGGUCUGAGAGGACGACCAGCCACACUGGGACUGAGACACGGCCCAGACUCCUACGGGAGGCAGCAGUGGGGAAUUUUGGACAAUGGGCGCAAGCCUGAUCCAGCCAUGCCGCGUGCGGGAAGAAGGCCUGGUGUAACG
RNAcentral lists this ribosomal RNA (398 nucleotides) under uncultured bacterium. Its description in RNAcentral is "bacterial SSU rRNA". It matches the Rfam family "Bacterial small subunit ribosomal RNA", at positions 28 to 430 of the family's 1533-position model. The record is from RNAcentral.